UACGGGGGGGGCAAGCGUUGUUCGGAAUUACUGGGCGUAAAGGGUUCGUAGGUGGUCAACUUAGUCAGACGUGAAAUCCCUCGGCUUAACUGGGGAACUGCGUCUGAUACUGGAUGGCUUGAGUGCAGGAGAGGAACGCGGAAUUCCAGGUGUAGCGGUGAAAUGCGUAGAUAUCUGGAGGAACACCGGUGGCGAAGGCGGCGUUCUGGACUGCAACUGACACUGAUGAACGAAAGCCAGGGGAGCAAACGGG
This 253-nucleotide ribosomal RNA is filed under the name uncultured bacterium. Its description in RNAcentral is "partial 16S ribosomal RNA". It matches the Rfam family "Bacterial small subunit ribosomal RNA", at positions 524 to 776 of the family's 1533-position model. The record is from RNAcentral.